CAAUAGCGGAGGAAAAGAACCCAACAGGGAUUGCCCUAGUAACGGCGAGUGAAGCGGCAACAGCUCAAAUUUGAAAUCUGGCCCCCUCGGGGUCCGAGUUGUAAUUUGCAGAGGGAGCUUUUGGCGUCGGUCGUGGUCUAAGUUCCUUGGAACAGGACGUCACAGAGGGUGAGAAUCCCGUACGUGGCCGCCGGCCUUCGCCUUGUAAAGCCCCUUCGACGAGUCGAGUUGUUUGGGAAUGCAGCUCUAAAUGGGAGGUAAAUUUCUUCUAAAGCUAAAUACCCGCCAGAGACCGAUAGCGCACAAGUAGAGUGAUCGAAAGAUGAAAAGCACUUUGGAAAGAGAGUGAAAAAGCACGUGAAAUUGUUGAAAGGGAAGCGCUUGCGGCCAGACUUGCCCGCGGUUGAUCAUCCAGGCUCCGGCCUGGUGCACUCCUCCGCGGGCAGGCCAGCAUCAGUUCGGGCGGUCGGAUAAAGGCCUCUAUCACGUACCACCCCCCGGGGUGGCCUUAUAGGGGAGGCGCAACACGGCCAGCCCGGACUGAGGUUCCGCGCAUCUGCUAGGAUGCUGGCGUAAUGGCAGCAAGCGGCCCGUCUUGAAACACGGACCAAGGAGUCUAACAUCUAUGCGAGUGUUUGGGUGUCAAGCCCGAGCGCGCAAUGAAAGUGAACGGAGGUGGGAACCCUUACCGGUGCACCAUCGACCGAUCCUGAUGUCUUCGGAUGGAUUUGAGUAAGAGCAUAGCUGUUGGGACCCGAAAGAUGGUGAACUAUGCCUGAAUAGGGUGAAGCCAGAGGAAACUCUGGUGGAGGCUCGCAGCGGUUCUGACGUGCAAAUCGAUCGUCAAAUUUGGGCAUAGGGGCGAA
Molecule: ribosomal RNA, 866 nt
Filed under: Torula sp.
Lineage: Eukaryota; Fungi; Ascomycota; Dothideomycetes; Pleosporales; Torulaceae
Description: partial large subunit ribosomal RNA
Rfam family: Eukaryotic large subunit ribosomal RNA
Source: RNAcentral